RNAcentral lists this unclassified non-coding RNA (235 nucleotides) under Hevea brasiliensis (rubber tree). Lineage: Eukaryota; Viridiplantae; Streptophyta; Magnoliopsida; Malpighiales; Euphorbiaceae. The record is from RNAcentral.
UGCGACUGAGGCUGACUCUGAGUUUUGUUCAUGUAAGAAGCCCCCAUCUGCUUUAAUGUUUGUGGAGAAGCAAAGGCCACAACACAAGCACGACCAUUGAAAACAUGCCCAUCCAUUCCCUCUUUGCAUGCAGCAGCAGCUGCUGCAUCAUAAAAUUCAACUUGGCAGUAGCCUUUAGAUUUGCCACUAGCUCUUUCAUCAAAGAACUUUAUCUCCUUGACCCUUCCAUAUUGAG